CUUGGCGACAAUAGCAAGGUGGAACCACCCGAUCCCAUCCCGAACUCGGAAGUGAAACGCCUUAGCGCCGAUGGUAGUGUGGGGCUUCCCCAUGUGAGAGUAGGUCAUUGCCAAGC
Molecule: ribosomal RNA, 116 nt
Filed under: Pontibacterium sinense
Lineage: Bacteria; Pseudomonadati; Pseudomonadota; Gammaproteobacteria; Oceanospirillales; Oceanospirillaceae
Source: RNAcentral